This 860-nucleotide ribosomal RNA is filed under the name marine sediment metagenome. RNAcentral describes it as "bacterial SSU rRNA". It matches the Rfam family "Bacterial small subunit ribosomal RNA", at positions 8 to 840 of the family's 1533-position model. The record is from RNAcentral.
AGAGUUUGAUCCUGGCUCAGAAUGAACGCUGGCGGCGUGCUUAACACAUGCAAGUCGCACGAGAACGUUUCAGCUUGCUGAAACUAGUAAAGUGGCGCACGGGUGAGUAACGCGUGGGUAAUCUACCUCCGAAUUGGGGAUAACAUUGCGAAAGCGAUGCUAAUACCGAAUAAUAUCUCAAGAACUUCGGCUUUUGAGAUCAAAGGUGGCCUCUCCAUGGAAGCUACUGUUAGGAGAUGAGCCCGCGUACCAUUAGCUUGUUGGUAGGGUAAUGGCCUACCAAAGGCAAACGAUGGUUAGCUGGUCUGAGAGGAUGAUCAGCCACACUGGAGCGGACACACGGGCCGGACGCCUACGGGGGGCAGCGGUGGGGAGUUUUGCGCAAUGGGGGAAACCCUGACGCAGCAACGCCGCGUGAGUGAUGAAGGCUUUCGGGUCGUAAAGCUCUGUCAAGUGGGAAGAGCCUGCCCUUUGCUAAUAUCAUAGGGCACUGACGGUACCACUGAAGGAAGCACCGGCUAACUCCGUGCCAGCAGCCGCGGUAACACGGGGGGUGCAAGCGUUAUUCGGAAUUACUGGGCGUAAAGAGCGCGUAGGCGGUUUCUAAAGUCAGAUGUGAAAGCCCGGGGCUCAACCCCGGAAGUGCAUUUGAAACUUAGGGACUUGAGUAUGGGAGAGGGAAGUGGAAUUCCUGGUGUAGCGGUGAAAUGCGUAGAUAUCAGGAGGAACACCGGUGGCGAAGGCGACUUCCUGGACCAAUACUGACGCUGAGGCGCGAAGGCGUGGGGAGCAAACCGCGUAUGUAAGUCGGGUCAACGUAAGUAUACUGUGGUUACAACACAGUAUUUUAUAGUUUAAUU